GAUGAAGAACGUAGCGAAAUGCGAUAAGUAAUGUGAAUUGCAGAAUUCAGUGAAUCAUCGAAUCUUUGAACGCACAUUGCGCCCCCUGGUAUUCCGGGGGGCAUGCCUGUUCGAGCGUCAUUUCACCACUCAAGCCUCGCUUGGUAUUGGGCAACGCGGUCCGCCGCGUGCCUCAAAUCGACCGGCUGGGUCUUCCGUCCCCUAAGCGUUGUGGAAACUAUUCGCUAAAGGGUGUUCGGGAGGCUACGCCGUAAAACAACCCCAUUUCUAAGGUUGACCUCGGAUCAGGUAGGGAUACCCGCUGAACUUAAGCAUAUCAAUAAGCGGAGGA
This 331-nucleotide unclassified non-coding RNA is filed under the name soil metagenome. RNAcentral's name for it is "partial contains 5.8S ribosomal RNA, internal transcribed spacer 2, and large subunit ribosomal RNA". The stretch from base 1 to 120 matches the Rfam family "5.8S ribosomal RNA", at positions 35 to 154 of the family's 154-position model. The record is from RNAcentral.